RNAcentral lists this ribosomal RNA (293 nucleotides) under uncultured bacterium. RNAcentral's name for it is "partial 16S ribosomal RNA". It matches the Rfam family "Archaeal small subunit ribosomal RNA", at positions 455 to 747 of the family's 1478-position model. The record is from RNAcentral.
GUGCCAGCCGCCGCGGUAAUACCGGCAGCCCGAGUGAUGGCCGAUCUUAUUGGGCCUAAAGCGUCCGUAGCUGGCUGCGCAAGUCCGUCGGGAAAUCCACUCGCCCAACGAGUGGGCGUCCGACGGAAACUGUCCGGCUUGGGGCCGGAAGACCCGAGGGGUACGUCCGGGGUAGGAGUGAAAUCCUGUAAUCCUGGACGGACCGCCGGUGGCGAAAGCGCCUCGGGAGGGCGGACCCGACAGUGAGGGACGAAAGCCAGGGUCUCGAACCGGAUUAGAAACCCUUGUAGUCC